Molecule: small nuclear RNA, 107 nt
Organism: Monodelphis domestica (gray short-tailed opossum)
Lineage: Eukaryota; Metazoa; Chordata; Mammalia; Didelphimorphia; Didelphidae
Source: Ensembl
GAUCAAUUUGGCAGCUUCAUGUACUAAAAUUGGAAUGAUACAGAGAAGAUUAGCAAGACCCCUGUGCAAGGAUGACAGGCCCAGUGUUCUAUCUGCUGCCCCACCUA